Long non-coding RNA from Suricata suricatta (meerkat), 340 nucleotides. RefSeq lists it as uncharacterized. The transcript has 3 exons. Lineage: Eukaryota; Metazoa; Chordata; Mammalia; Carnivora; Herpestidae. The record is from RefSeq and is a predicted model, not a curated record.
CCGAGGGAAGUAAGGCGAGCCCCGACUCCAGAGGUGGUGAGACAAGUUCACGUGUACGAGUUUCCAUGGAAGCCAUGUGACUUGAGUGCGUGAGUUGAGCACUGAUGACAUUCCUUGAUUCAAGCCGUCACAUGUGUGACUAUUUAGGAUUCAGUGACCUUUGGUGAUGUGCCUGUGGACUUCACCUUGGAGGAAUGGACUUUUCUGGACCCCUCAGAGAACCUUACACAGAGAUGCAGAACUGGAACCCGAGUGCAGUGGGUUAUCAACUCCUUAAACCCAGUCUGACCCAUGGUCGGAGCGAGAAGAGUUGAGGACAAUGGAGAGAGGGACUCCUCAG